GGGAAUAUAGACACCUCUGCCCUAAUAAGAGGACUCACCCUGUAAGAGGGGCAUGUGGAAUGGGAGGUAUUAUGGCUGCCAUCUUUAGAAAUUACAAUUUGCCACAGGUUGUGUUCCCUAGAAGCAGAGGUUGAAAUAGGGGUUCUUUUGUGAGUUAAGGAAGAGGGAGAAGCUAAGCGAGGAUGUAGCUUCAGGUGAAGUCCAGCUUCAACCUGAUCUUGUAGGCAGCACUGGAUCUCACAUUGUCUGCAGCAUUUGUCCUUCCUUGAGGCAAAAAAGUGGGGCUUUUGUACACACAUAUCAGUCAACCCUUAGCUUAGGGAAGCCCCAGGGGAAGGGUUGUAACUCCUAGGUAUCUCGUAGACAGGCAACUCCUCUUGCUUAAAGGCAUUUCCCAGACAAGGCUUGCUCUGUGAGCCUUUAAUAGCAGUUAAUAAAAAGAUUGCCAGAGAUCUGAUUGGGACUGCAACAGCCUCAGCUACAUUAAGAUAUGGGGGCACAUUCAAGGCCUGUUUUAUAGAGACUAGCAGCUCACUCCAAAAGUGGAAAGGAGAAGCAAUGUCACAGGAAAAUCGGAAAGUGAUUACCAGAAGUGGGAUAAGACCAGACAGGAAAAAUACCCCAAACAAAGGAAAGUAAAGACCAUGUAAGGAAUUCAGUCACUGGUGAACUAGAACAGCAGGUUAAAAUGAUCAUGGUAGGCACAGUGACUCCAUUCAGAGCUCAACAUCCCUGAACCUACGUUGCAUCAGAUUCCUCUACCCAGGGACAAUCUUGAUUCCAGAAUUGAGAGCAAGAGUCAUGCAGUUGAAGACUCAAUCACCCAGGAGAGGCAGGUGGCUCCGGCUUUGGGGCUGGAGGAUUUGAAAGCAGGCUAAAAAGUCAUCACAAUUUUGUUCUCCACUAGGCCAGAGGGCUUUAGUGACCACAGAAGUUUUAAA
RNAcentral lists this long non-coding RNA (941 nucleotides) under Homo sapiens (human). RNAcentral's name for it is "HSALNT0310615". The record is from RNAcentral. Lineage: Eukaryota; Metazoa; Chordata; Mammalia; Primates; Hominidae.